Molecule: long non-coding RNA, 399 nt
Organism: Empidonax traillii (willow flycatcher)
Lineage: Eukaryota; Metazoa; Chordata; Aves; Passeriformes; Tyrannidae
Exons: 3
Source: RefSeq, a predicted model, not a curated record
AUUCCUGUACAAGGACAUCUUCCUGUAAAUCUUCUUCAUUUAUAAAUUAGAUACACCAUGUAUUCAAGCAUGGCAUCAGUUAAGCUGUAAUGCACUGAGGACUUUGCUGGCCCAGUUCUGAUACAAGUAUCCCAACAGGAGAGCAGGGGGAAGCAGACAGCCAGACAUCGAUCCGGGCUGCAGGAUGUGUUUAGUGAAAAAUCUAUAGAGCUCAGCUUAGGGUGUCAGCUGUCAGUCUGCAGAGCAUCUGUCAGAGGAGUAUUUGCUUCACUGCUGCUGAAUAAUCCACUAUGCCAAUAUGUGACUAUGAUGUUGACUGGAAAGAUGGACAGCACCUCAAAGGUCAAGAGCUGUAGGCUGAAUUCCAGAUAAUGAUUUCUCAAGGAUAAUUUGUGGAAA